RNAcentral lists this ribosomal RNA (446 nucleotides) under uncultured bacterium. RNAcentral's name for it is "partial 16S ribosomal RNA". It matches the Rfam family "Bacterial small subunit ribosomal RNA", at positions 338 to 795 of the family's 1533-position model. The record is from RNAcentral.
CCUACGGGUGGCAGCAGUCGAGAAUCAUUCACAAUGGGGGAAACCCUGAUGGUGCGACGCCGCGUGGGGGAAUGAAGGUCUUCGGAUUGUAAACCCCUGUCAUGUGGGAGCAAAUUAAAAAGAUAGUACCCCAAGAGGAAGAGACGGCUAACUCGGGGCCAGCAGCCGCGGUAAUACAGAGGGCUCAAGCGUUGUUCGGAAUCACUGGGCGUAAAGCGUGCGUAGGCUGUUUCGUGAGUCGUGUGUGAAAGGCGCGGGCUCAACCCGCGGACGGCACAUGAUACUGCGAGACUAGAGUAAUGGAGGGGGAAGCGGAAUUCUCGGUGGAGCAGUGAAAUGCGUAGAUAUCGAGAGGAACACUCGUGGCGAAGGCGGGUUCCUGGACAUUAACUGACGCUGAGGCACGAAGGCCAGGGGAGCGAAAGGGAUUAGAUACCCCAGUAGUC